CCUACGGGAGGCAGCAGUAGGGAAUAUUGCUCAAUGGGGGAAACCCUGACGCAGCAACGCCGCGUGGAUGAUGAAGGUUUUCGGAUUGUAAACUCCUUUUGUAAGAGAAGAUAAUGACGGUAUCUAACGAAUAAGCACCGGCUAACUCCGUGCCAGCAGCAGCGGUAAUACGGAGGGUGCAAGCGUUACUCGGAAUCACUGGGCGUAAAGAGCGCGUAGGCGGGAUAGAAAGUCAGAUGUGAAAUCCUAUGGCUUAACCAUGGAACUACAUCUGAAACUGUUAUUCUAGAGUAUGGGAGAGGUAGGUGGAAUUCUUGGUGUAGGGGUAAAAUGCGUAGAGAUCAAGAGGAAUACUCAUUGCGAAGGCGACCUGCUAGAACAUAACUGACGCUGAUGCGCGAAAGCGUGGGGAGCAAACAGGAUUAGAUACCCCUGUAGUC
Molecule: ribosomal RNA, 440 nt
Filed under: uncultured bacterium
Lineage: Bacteria
Description: partial 16S ribosomal RNA
Rfam family: Bacterial small subunit ribosomal RNA
Source: RNAcentral